AGCGAACGCUGGCGGCAGGCUUAACACAUGCAAGUCGAGCGGGCAUAGCAAUAUGUCAGCGGCAGACGGGUGAGUAACGCGUGGGAACGUACCUUUUGGUUCGGAACAACACAGGGAAACUUGUGCUAAUACCGGAUAAGCCCUUACGGGGAAAGAUUUAUCGCCGAAAGAUCGGCCCGCGUCUGAUUAGCUAGUUGGUGAGGUAAUGGCUCACCAAGGCGACGAUCAGUAGCUGGUCUGAGAGGAUGAUCAGCCACAUUGGGACUGAGACACGGCCCAAACUCCUACGGGAGGCAGCAGUGGGGAAUAUUGGACAAUGGGCGCAAGCCUGAUCCAGCCAUGCCGCGUGAGUGAUGAAGGCCCUAGGGUUGUAAAGCUCUUUUGUGCGGGAAGAUAAUGAUGGUACCGCAAGAAUAAGCCCCGGCUAACUUCGUG
Molecule: ribosomal RNA, 435 nt
Filed under: uncultured bacterium
Lineage: Bacteria
Description: partial 16S ribosomal RNA
Rfam family: Bacterial small subunit ribosomal RNA
Source: RNAcentral